UACGAAGGGGGCUGGCGUUGCUCGGAAUCACUGGGCGUAAGCGCACGUAGGCGGAUCUUUAAGUCAGGGGUGAAAUCCUGGAGCUCAACUCCAGAACUGCCUUUGAUACUGGGGAUCUCGAGUCCGGAAGAGGUGAGUGGAACUCCGAGUGUAGAGGUGAAAUUCGUAGAUAUUCGGAAGAACACCAGUGGCGAAGGCGGCUCACUGGUCCGGUACUGACGCUGAGGUGCGAAAGCGUGGGGAGCAAACAGG
This 252-nucleotide ribosomal RNA is filed under the name uncultured bacterium. Its description in RNAcentral is "partial 16S ribosomal RNA". It matches the Rfam family "Bacterial small subunit ribosomal RNA", at positions 524 to 776 of the family's 1533-position model. The record is from RNAcentral.